ACACUGUUCUGUAUAUAUAUUCUGGGGAUUAAAGAAAACAGUAGGGGCUAUGAGCAUUCUGAUCAUUUUUUCCUUUCAGCCAAGAAAACAGAAGAGGAGCCCAGAAAGGCCUAUGUUUUUGGCGUGAAGUACUCAUCACAGGUACACUAGGUGUGAUCCAUUCCAAGCACAGCAUCAGGUGAUAAAUGUCCUGUCAGACUGAGUCAGGAGUCCUAAGGCAGGCUCAGGGAAAAAAGAAAACCUGGAGCAGAGGGCAAAAGCUGCUUUGAUAUUAAUUUUUAGAGUAAUAAAUACUGUGAAAACAGAUUCUUCUGAUCUUUGAGAUUUUUAAGCAAGAGCUGUCAGAGAAGUUAACAUAGAGAUAAAUGGCUUGAGGCAGCCAAGCAUUCAUAGAGACAUUGCUUUCUGAUUCUUCAAUAUUGGUUCCCCUCCCUCCCAUUAUUAUGAAGCAUCAAGAACUGGAUUGUUCCCCUACCAAGAGAGAAUGUGAGCUGGGUUUAAAUUAUCAUGAGACAAGCUGCUU
This 523-nucleotide non-coding RNA is filed under the name Sarcophilus harrisii (Tasmanian devil). RNAcentral describes it as "Eukaryotic large subunit ribosomal RNA". It matches the Rfam family "Eukaryotic large subunit ribosomal RNA", at positions 2553 to 2984 of the family's 3401-position model. The record is from Rfam by way of RNAcentral. Lineage: Eukaryota; Metazoa; Chordata; Mammalia; Dasyuromorphia; Dasyuridae.